RNAcentral lists this long non-coding RNA (216 nucleotides) under Elaeis guineensis (African oil palm). RNAcentral describes it as "long non-coding RNA (EGUI_LNC029611)". Lineage: Eukaryota; Viridiplantae; Streptophyta; Magnoliopsida; Arecales; Arecaceae. The record is from RNAcentral.
AGGGCUGAUGUCUGGCUCCCGUAGGAGCUCGGGUAAAAUCUAGAAGGCGGUCGACCGCCAUAGAAACUUGGAUGGAGUCCGCCCGUCAUGGAGAUCUACUGUUGAAAAAGUUCGGCCACUGACGAACUGACGAAGUUCUGGAAGAAAUUUGGAUUGGAGUCGAUCGAAUCCUGUUGGAAAAGAUCUGGAAGAGGUCCGGGGAGCGGUUGACCCUUG